RNAcentral lists this ribosomal RNA (441 nucleotides) under uncultured bacterium. Its description in RNAcentral is "SSU rRNA". It matches the Rfam family "Bacterial small subunit ribosomal RNA", at positions 26 to 518 of the family's 1533-position model. The record is from RNAcentral.
AGAGCGAACGCUGGCGGCAGGCCUAACACAUGCAAGUCGAGCGCCCCGCAAGGGGAGCGGCAGACGGGAGAGUAACACGUGGGAACGUACCCUUCAGUUCGGAACAACCCAGGGAAACUUGGGCUAAUACCGGAUACGUCCGUAAGGAGAAAGAUUUAUCGCUGAAGGAUCGGCCCGCGUCUGAUUAGCUUGUUGGUGAGGUAACGGCUCACCAAGGCUACGAUCAGUAGCUGGUCUGAGAGGAUGAUCAGCCUCACUGGGACUGAGACACGGCCCAGACUCCUACGGGAGGCAGCAGUGGGGAAUAUUGGACAAUGGGCGCAAGCCUGAUCCAGCCAUGCCGCGUGGGUGAUGAAGGCCCUAGGGUUGUAAAGCCCUUUCGGCGGGGAAGAUAAUGACGGUACCGCAGAAGAAGCCCGGCUAACUCGUGCCAGCAGCCGC